AACCUUUACACUGCACGACAGUGCGAUAAGGGAAUCCCAAGUGCGUAGGCAUAGAGCCUACGCUUUUGUCCACCGUAGGGAGGUGGACGAAUAAGAGCUGGGCAAGACCGGUGCCAGCCGCCGCGGUAAUACCGGCAGCUCGAGUGAUGUCCAAUAUUAUUGGGCCUAAAGCGUCCGUAGCUGGCCAGCCAAGUUCGUCGGGAAAUCCACCUGCCCAACGGGUGGGCGUCCGGUAGAAACUGCGUGGCUUGGGACCGGAAGGCGCGACGGGUACGUCCGGGGUAGGAGUGAAAUCCCGUAAUCCUGGACGGACCGCCGAUGGCGAAAGCACGUCGCGAAGACGGAUCCGACAGUGAGGGACGAAAGCUAGGGUCUCGAACCGGAUUAGAUACCCGGGUAGUCCUAGCCGUAAACAAUGCCUGCUAGGUGUGGCUCCCACUACGAGUGGGUGCUGUGCCGUAGGGAAGCCGCUAAGCAGGCCGCCUGGGAAGUACGUCCGCAAGGAUGAAACUUAA
RNAcentral lists this ribosomal RNA (515 nucleotides) under uncultured archaeon. RNAcentral's name for it is "bacterial SSU rRNA". It matches the Rfam family "Archaeal small subunit ribosomal RNA", at positions 345 to 859 of the family's 1478-position model. The record is from RNAcentral.